GGGUGCCAGAAGUCAGGCUAAACAAAGGUAAGCCAAAGUCAGAGGAUGCAAGAAGUCAGGCUAAACAAAGGUAAGCCAAAGUCAGAGGAUGCCAGAAGUCAGGAUGCAUGAUACAAAAGCCAAGGUCAGGAGCCAACUGGAGAACACUGAUCACAACUACAAACACAGGAACCAGAGUCAAUGAACGGACACUGCCCUCAGGGAGAGGCAAACUCAGGUGGACCAUGAGUAACAGAAGC
This is a non-coding RNA of Pelobates cultripes (western spadefoot toad), 239 nucleotides long. The record is from the annotation of a GenBank genome assembly. NCBI's taxonomy places the organism in Eukaryota, Metazoa, Chordata, Amphibia, Anura, Pelobatidae.